Molecule: ribosomal RNA, 451 nt
Filed under: uncultured bacterium
Lineage: Bacteria
Description: bacterial SSU rRNA
Rfam family: Bacterial small subunit ribosomal RNA
Source: RNAcentral
AGCGAACGCUGGCGGCAGGCCUAACACAUGCAAGUCGAGCGCCCGUAGCAAUACGGGAGCGGCAGACGGGAGAGUAACACGUGGGAACGUACCCUUCAGUUCGGAACAACCCAGGGAAACUUGGGCUAAUACCGAAUACGUCCGUAAGGAGAAAGAUUUAUCGCUGAAGGAUCGGCCCGCGUCUGAUUAGCUAGUUGGUGAGGUAAUGGCUCACCAAGGCGACGAUCAGUAGCUGGCUGAGAGGAUGAUCAGCCUCACUGGGACUGAGACACGGCCCAGACUCCUACGGGAGGCAGCAGUGGGGAAUAUUGGACAAUGGGCGCAAGCCUGAUCCAGCCAUGCCGCGUGGGUGAUGAAGGCCCUAGGGUUGUAAAGCCCUUUCGGCGGGGAAGAUAAUGACGGUACCCGCAGAAGAAGCCCCGGCUAACUUCGUGCCAGCCGCCGCCGUAAG